RNAcentral lists this long non-coding RNA (4096 nucleotides) under Homo sapiens (human). RNAcentral's name for it is "HSALNT0007842". The record is from RNAcentral. Lineage: Eukaryota; Metazoa; Chordata; Mammalia; Primates; Hominidae.
GCUUUGUUUACCCAAGCAAGCCUGGGCAAUGGCGGGCGCCCCUCCCCCAGCCUUGCUGCGGCCUUGCAGUUUGAUCUCAGACUGCUGUGCUAGCAAUCAGCGAGACUCCGUGGGCGUAGGACCCUCCUAGCCAGGUGCAAGAUAUAAUCUCGCGGUGCGCCGUUUUUUAAGCCGGUCCGAAAGCGCAAUAUUCGGGUGGGAGAGACCCGAUUUUCCAGUGAGAUGAACCCAGUACCUCAGAUGGAAAUGCAGAAAUCACCCGUCUUCUGCGUCGCUCACGCUGGGAGCUGUAGACCGGAGCUGUUGCUAUUCGGCCAUCUUGGCUCCUCUCCUGCACUGCAAGAAUGGACUAAUACGCUAUGUGAAGACAAAGGGGAUGUCUGCAAGCCAGGACGAGUGCGUCUACCAGAAACUGAGUUCUGCUGGACUUUGAUCUAGGACAUCCAGCCUCCAGAAUGGAAUGUGCCAUAUGUGGAGACCUGCAUGGAAAGGAACUGAGGAUGCUCUCUCACUAAAAGCUAGAAGGAACUGAGGCCCUCAGUCAACAGUCUACAAGACACUGAAUCUUGCCAGCAGCCAAGCAGUGAGCUUGAAAGCAGAUCUAUCAUCAGCUGAACCUUCAGAUGAGACCGCAGCCUAAGCAGAUACCUUGGUUGCAGCCAUGUGAGACAACCUGAAACAGAGGGCACAGCUAAGCCUCAGCCAGGUUCAUGACCCUCUGAGGAAACUGUGAGAAAGCAAAUGUCAUUUUAAGCUAUUUAAUUUUGGAGGUAGUUUAUUACACAACAAUAAAUAACUAUUAUAAUUAUCUUGAGGAUUUAUUUCCUGGGGAGAAUACAUGGAAUUGCAUAUAUAGGUCCUCAUAUGCAGAAUACUGGUACCCUAGAGAUGUUCACCCCAGAGAUGUUUUAGGAACCUGUGAAUAUGUUACAUUAAAUGGCAAAGUUUUCCUGGAUGGUUUAAGUUUAAGAUGGAAAAGUUUUACUGGAUUAUCCAGUGGGUCCAAUCUAGUAACAUGAGUCCUUAAAAAUGGAGAAUAUUUUUUGGCCAUGAUCAGAGAGACAUGUGAUGAUGGAAAAAGUGUCAGAGAUGCAAUGUGAGGGGACUAAAACUGCUGUUGCUGACUUUAAAGAUGGAGAGAGGGGAACCCGAGUCAAGGAAUGCAAAUGGCCUCUGGAAGCUGGAAAAAGCAAGAAAUGGAUUCUCCUUUAGAGCCUGUGGAAUAAAAUGCAGUCAUGCUGACACCUUGAUUUUACCUCAGUGAGACCAAUACUGGAGUAUGACCUUCGGAGCUGAAUAAAAUUAUACGUACACAUCUUAAUUUCUUGGGAUUUGAUUACUUCUUCUGCUUUGAAAUUAGACCAAGUUUAGCCUGCCUUUGCUAUUUUGGCGUAUCUCCAAUUCUUCAUGAUUUUCUCAUUGUUGCCUCCAUAUGAUGCAAAAUAUCCAACCUAGCCCUGACAUGAAAACUUAAUUGAAAGUAUCCAACAGUGGCGCAAAGGCCACAUAAGGACAGUGAGAAGGCAGCCACCUGCAAGCCAGGAAGAAAGGUCUCACCAGAUACCAACCCUGCCAGCAUGUUGAUCUUGGACUUCCAGCCUCCAAAACUGGCCUUCUGCUCACAUGGGCUUCCGUGCACCUGCUUCAGGAGACAGCAACACUUGCGCCCGCACCGCGGCAGGCUCCCAUCACCUGGUGGAUAUGCCGCGCCGAGUCUCAUCACACCUUAGUGAAGGAACACAUGGACCCAUAUGUUAGCGGAUGUAUUUACAUCGUUUUAUACAGAAAGGGGAAAUGGAGUCUUGCUCUGUCACACAUGCUAGAGUCCAGUGGUAUGACCUCAGCUCACUGCAAUCUCUGCCUCCCGGGUUCAAAUGAUUCUUCUGCCUUGACCUCCCUGGCAGCUGGGACUACAGGCCUGCACCACCACGCCUGGCAAAUUUUUUAAUUUUUUUUAGUAGAGAUGGGGUUUCACCAUGUUGGCCAGGCUAGUCUCGAACUCCUGACCUCAAAUGAUCUGCCCGCUUUGGCCUUCCAAAGUUCUGGGAUUAUAGGAGUGAGCCACCAUGCCCAGCCUGUUCUUAAGUCUCCUAGAACAGGGAUUCUGAAACACAAAACUCAUCUGGUGAGAAGAAUGAGAGCAAGAGAGGUUAAAUGGGUCGUUCAAGUUCAUAAAGUACUGACAGAAGAUGACCCUGAACUGUUCUCACUAUAUUAAAAGUCAGACAAGUAUUAUUAUUAUUAUUACUAAUAUAAGUAGCUCCAAUUUAUGUGAUUCUCAUGAUUUGGAGGACCUUACCUAUAUUAGCUUAUUUAAUCUACACAGCAAACCUAGAUGGUAAAUAUUUUCAUUGCCAUUUUACAGAGGAGGAACUGAGGUUCCUGAGGGUUAGGAAACUUGUAACAUGAACUCCAUACAGAUAUACAGAAUGAUAUAAACAAAUAAACAAAUACAUAAAUGUGGAAGAAGUAAAAGCUCUUCCUUGGAGUAAAAGGCCACCUAAUAAAUGAGGCAGGAAUGAUAAAAUUAGAGAAAUCAUUUGCAAACAUCACAGUAUUAAUUGCUUAAAGGAAGAAUUAUAAAUAGAUAAUAAAGCUAGUGGGUGAAACAUUAAUGGGACUAAGAUAUUUAUCUAGCCCCAAAAGUUUUGCUCCAUAAAAAUACUUACUUAGGCUGGGCAUGGUGGUGCACACCUGUAAUUCUAGCACUUUGGGAGGCCGAGGUGGAAGGAUUACUUGAGCUUAAGAGUUCAAUGGCAGCCUGGACAACAUAGUGAGACCGCAUCUCUAAAAAAAAAAUUAGCCAGGUGUGGUAGUGCGUGUAUGUAUUCUCAGCUACUCAGGAGGCUGAGGUAGAAGGGAUCGCUUGAGCCCCAAGUUGAGGCCACAGUGAGCUGAGAUUGCACCACUGCACUCCAGCCUGGGUUACAGAGAGUGAUCCUGUCUCAACAAUAAAAUAAAAUAAAAUGAAAAAAAUAUUUAUUACAAAUGAAAAAAAUGACAUGUUUACACUGGAGAGGCCUACAGGCAUCAUCUUAACCAAUGAUCAAAGUUAAUAUCUACACGAAUAGGACAAAUAAUAUCAUUUCCCUCCUGACCUCAUGCAUGUUUAAAACACAACAUAACUUCUUGGUUAUUUCUGUCAAGAGUGCAUAACCUGAAACUAAUCAUAAGAAACCACCAGAUGACCCCACGAUGAGAGGUAUACUAAAAAAUAACUAAGCUAUUAUUUUAUUUUAUUUAUUUUUUGAGACAGAGUCUUGCUCUGUUGCCCAGGCUGGAGUGCAGUGGCGCAAUCUCAGCUCACUGCAACCUCAGCCUCCUGGGUUCAAGAGAUUCUCCUGCCUCAGCCUCCCAAGUAGCUGGGAUUACAGGCUUCUUUUUGUAUUUUUAGUAGAGAGGGGGUUUCACCAUGUUGGCCAGGCUGGUCUCAAACUCCUGACCUCAGGUGGUCCACCCACCUCGGCCUCCCAGUUUUGGGAUUAUAUGCGUGAGCCACUGCACUCAGCCACCAGACUUUUUUUUUUUUCUUUUUACUUUUUUUGAGACAGCAUCUCCCUCUGUCGCCCAGGCUGGAGUGCAAUGGCACAAUCUUGGCUCACUGCGACCUCCGCCUCCCAGGUUCAAGUGAUUCUCCUGUCUCAGCCUCCUGAGUAGCUGGAACUACAGGCGCCCGCCACCACGCCCGGCCAGUUUUUGUGUUUUUAGUGGAUAUGGGGGUUUCACCAUGUCGGUCAGGCUGGUCUCGAACUCCUCACCUCAGGUGAUCUGCCCGACUCAGCCUCCCAAAGUGCUGGGAUUAUAGAUGUGAGCCAUCGUGCCUGGCCUAUUUUGAAAGCAACAUAUAAUCCAACUUUUUCUUUUGUUAUAAAGAGCAAUAUAGGAACAAGGAGUGAAACACCAAGGCAAUUUGACAGUUAAAUGGUAGAAGUAGAUCAGUGUUAAUUUCCUGAUUUUGUAAUUAUACUGUGGUUAUGUAACAGAAUGUUCUUGUUUUAGAAAGUACACAUUGAAUAAUCAAUGGUCAUCUUGUCUGUAACUUAAUUUCAAAUGUUUCAAUAAAAAUAUGUGUAUGUUUGUGAGUGAUAAAACAAAU